Small nucleolar RNA from Laticauda laticaudata (blue-ringed sea krait), 133 nucleotides. Ensembl annotates it as small nucleolar RNA, H/ACA box 65. Its record names the gene SNORA65. NCBI's taxonomy places the organism in Eukaryota, Metazoa, Chordata, Lepidosauria, Squamata, Elapidae. The record is from Ensembl.
CCCGCCACUGUGCUUGCCUAUUUUCAGCCAUGGCUUGUGCAUUCCAGUGGUGAGCUGAGAGGAAAAAAACCCUUUCAAGGAAACAGAGCUAUUCUCUCCGUGGGUAACUCUGUGCCGAAGACUGGGAACAGAA